UCUUGGUCAUUUAGAGGAAGUAAAAGUCGUAACAAGGUUUCCGUAGGUGAACCUGCGGAAGGAUCAUUAGAUGCAAGCUUUGACGCCCGAGAUCUUGGCCACCUCUGAGAUGGGGUGGUUCCUCUCUCCGUCCAAAUCGCAUAACCAAACUGUGAACCCACCUUUUGCUUCGGCAGCAGGGAGUCUGUGUCGGCCCGCCUCGUCGCGGUGUCCCUCCUUCGCCUGUCAGCCUGCCGGAAGCCCACAAACCAAACCAUAUUGUAGAAACGUUCUAGUCUGAGAGUGAUAAACAAACAAAACAAGUUAAAACUUUCAACAACGGAUCUCUUGGUUCUCGCAUCGAUGAAGAACGCAGCGAAACGCGAUAGGUAAUGUGAAUUGCAGAAUUCAGUGAAUCAUCGAAUCUUUGAACGCACAUUGCGCUCCCUGGCAUUCCUAGGAGCAUGUCUGUCUGAGCGUCAGUACACACCCUCCGCUCCCUUUCUUUGUUGAAGGGCUGAGUGGGUUCUGAGCGGGGAAGAGCCCUCUGGGUUCACUCCCCCUCUAAAGUGGAAUGACAGCGGCCCGCCUGCCCGUGAAAGACGUAGUAAGAUCUCAAUCAGAAUCGUCCGCGAAGGGGUGACGGAAGAGGCCUGCCUUGAAACUCAAAUCUGAAGGUUUGACCUCAGAUCAGACAAGAAUACCCGCUGAACUUAAGCAUAUCAAUAAGCGGAGGAAAAGAAACCAACAGGGAUUGCCUUAGUAACGGCGAGUGAAGCGGCAAGAGCUCAAAUUUGAAAUCUGGCUCCUUUGGAGUCCGAGUUGUAAUUUGAAGAGGAAUCUUCGGUUCGGACCACGAUCUAUGUUCCUUGGAACAGGACGUCGUAGAGGGUGAGAAUCCCGUACACGGUUGAUGGUCUCGUCCCAUGUGAAGUUCCCUCGAAGAGUCGAGUUGUUUGGGAAUGCAGCUCUAAAAGGGUGGUAAAUGUCAUCUAAAGCUAAAUACCGGCGAGAGACCGAUAGCGCACAAGUAGAGUGAUCGAAAGAUGAAAAGCACUUUGAAAAGAGAGUUAAAAAGUACGUGAAAUUGUUGAAAGGGAAGCGCUUGCAAUCAGACUUGCUCUGGGUUGAUCAACGUACCUUCUGGUGCGUGCACUCGGCCCUCCGCAGGCCAGCAUCGGUUCGGACGGCGGGACAAAGACCGAGGGAAUGUGGCUCUCUUCGGGGAGUGUUAUAGCCCACGGUGCAAUGCCGCCAGAYCGGACCGUGGACCGCGCUUCGGCUAGGAUGCUGGCGUAAUGGUUGUAAGCGACCCGUCUUGAAACACGGACCAAGGAGUCUAACAUCUAUGCGAGUGUUUGGGUGUCAAACCCAUGCGCGUAAUGAAAGUGAACGGAGGUGGGAGCCCUCACGGGUGCACCAUCGACCGAUCCUGAUGUCUUCGGAUGGAUUUGAGUAGGAGCAUAGCUGUUGGGACCCGAAAGAUGGUGAACUAUGCCUGAAUAGGGUGAAGCCAGAGGAAACUCUGGUGGAGGCUCGCAGCGGUUCUGACGUGCAAAUCGAUCGUCAAAUUUGGGUAUAGGGGCGAAAGACUAAUCG
Molecule: ribosomal RNA, 1578 nt
Filed under: Lecophagus ellipsoideus
Lineage: Eukaryota; Fungi; Ascomycota; Orbiliomycetes; Orbiliales
Description: eukaryotic LSU rRNA
Source: RNAcentral